This 571-nucleotide ribosomal RNA is filed under the name Fuligo leviderma. Its description in RNAcentral is "SSU rRNA". It matches the Rfam family "Eukaryotic small subunit ribosomal RNA", at positions 41 to 554 of the family's 1831-position model. Lineage: Eukaryota; Evosea; Eumycetozoa; Physariida; Physaraceae. The record is from RNAcentral.
AGACUAAGCCAUGCAUGCCUCCGAAUAGAAGAGCUUUCUCUCUGAAUCUGCGUACGGCUCCGCACACCAGUUGUAAACCAUAGCAAGCAGGCUCGGUGGGGUGGGGCAACCCGUUCUGCUGGGCCACAAGGAUAACCCUGGUAAUUCUGAGGCUAAUACAAGAACGUACCACUCGGUGGACCGGGCAACCGGGAAGCUGGGGGGUGUGUGAAGCAUCGCAUAAAACCAGUGGGAAUAGUCGCACGCUCUGACCACCAUACAAACGUUCUCGGUCGCAGUAGCCCUUCGGGGAGGCUCGGCUGGGUUCGGGUGGCUCUUGCAAAGUGCUUCUGACCUAUCAACUAGAUGGCAGCGUAAGGGACAUGCUAUGGUGACAACGGGUACAGAGGAUAAGGGUUCGAUCCUGGAGAGUGGGCCUGAGAGAUCGCUCACACUUCUAAGGAAGGCAGCAGGCGCGCAACGUUCCCAGUGGACAAAGUCCGAGGGCGUUAGGGGAAAUAUGGAUGUCUGCCAUAUGGUGGACAAUCCAAAUGGGUUCGUUCUAAACAGCCCUUCGAGUAACAAUUAGAGG